UCACUUUGCAUUUGAACACCCAGCAAGUUAUUAAUGAUUUCCUCUGACACAUCUUGAUCUUCCUUUAUGAUGAAAAGUCCUGAAGAUAGUUAAUGGAAUUUGCACCAUUCACAAAUAUUUUUUUUUUGAACUGAAGGAAAGUAUCAAAUAUCUCUUAAUCAUACUCCUUUGUCUCACAAGGCACAGAGAGAUAAACCACAUAACCAGGUUAAAACUACCAUUGAAGUUUUCAUUAAUGGCCUCAUUUCCUUCCAGGUGGAAAAGGCAUUUUUAAGCUAUUCACUUGGAAAUGAAGAUGAUGAAAAAAGAAAAGACAGGAAGAAGGAAGCAAGAAGAAACGCAUAUAUUAAUAAAAUAUCAUUGAGAACAAGGAGGUCAUCUGAAAAUCCAACUUUUCUCAAUCUUUGCAAUCUUCUCUAAACAAUAGAAGGGUGUUGAUGCAACAUGUCAGAACUCUUACACUGGAUGCAAGUUUUAAGCCUGGAAGAAAUCAACUUCACAAGAAGACAGCUAAGAUUGAACCUUAAGAAAAUUUCUCUCUCUUUAUUUA
Molecule: long non-coding RNA, 550 nt
Organism: Canis lupus familiaris (dog)
Lineage: Eukaryota; Metazoa; Chordata; Mammalia; Carnivora; Canidae
Exons: 3
Source: RefSeq, a predicted model, not a curated record